UUUCCCAAUCACUUUAAUUUGCUGUCCUGUGUACCAGGCUAUGAGCUCUGUUUUACUCAUCUGCUUAUGAAGAGGCGGAUGCUGGUUUCUAUGUGGGUAAUAAAAAGAAAUUAUACAGGA
Molecule: long non-coding RNA, 120 nt
Organism: Mastomys coucha (southern multimammate mouse)
Lineage: Eukaryota; Metazoa; Chordata; Mammalia; Rodentia; Muridae
Exons: 2
Source: RefSeq, a predicted model, not a curated record